CAGGAACAGCAAAGAUAGAUGUAAAUGUUGAUUUCACUCACAAACUAUGUGCUGCUUUGAUGCUUCAUCCCUUCAGGAAUUCUGGCAAUCCCCUUUCACAGAUUAUUGGGAGUCUUUGCAUUAAGCAUCCAAGUGUAUUUGGUGGGAGCGAAAAGCUCGAUGUAUCCUAGGC
Long non-coding RNA from Papaver somniferum (opium poppy), 172 nucleotides. RefSeq lists it as uncharacterized. The record is from RefSeq and is a predicted model, not a curated record. The transcript has 3 exons. Lineage: Eukaryota; Viridiplantae; Streptophyta; Magnoliopsida; Ranunculales; Papaveraceae.